Neofelis nebulosa (Clouded leopard) is the source of this 554-nucleotide long non-coding RNA. RefSeq lists it as uncharacterized. The transcript has 3 exons. The record is from RefSeq and is a predicted model, not a curated record. Lineage: Eukaryota; Metazoa; Chordata; Mammalia; Carnivora; Felidae.
CAACAGGCAAGGAAAGGCAGAGCCAACAGGGAACUCAGGAGGCAGGGGCUGGAUCCCCAGGACCUUGGGUUUUGUUCAGUUUUUAAAUGACAACAGAAAGCCACUGAGGGUUUUUAGCAGAGGGACGGCAUGGUCUGAUCUACAUUUUUCAAAAGAUCUGGAACAGUAUGAAAAAUGAAUUGGAAGAGGUUAAAAUAUCCUCCCCAGCAUCAUGCCGACUUGUCAAAGAGUGAGAAACAAUCCUCCCGGCCACCCCCGAACAGCACUCAGGAAGCUAACACAUGACUUGGCCAUCAAUUCACUUCAUUUUUCCAGACCGUUAGGGAGCACCUAGUAUGUACCAGGCACUGUGAUAAAUACUGGAGGCACUGAAGUGAAGGAGACACAGGCCCCUUCCUCCAGGAACCUAAAAUCUCCACUGUCCAAGAGCAGCCAGCCUGGCACAGGUUACCAAGGUGCCCAUCAGCGACGAGUGCCUCACUGUGGCCUCAACCAUGCAGGACCUACUCCACCGUGGCACGCAAUGGGGGAGAAUGAAUGCGUAGGUGUGUAAG